UUUUUUUUUUUUUUUUAAAUGAUGAACUAGACCAAACCAGCCCACCAGUCCCCAAAACAAAACCCGCAACCCCUUAGAACUGAAACUUGAGUCUGAAGAACUGCACUUGUGUACGGUUCUUCGGGGUUCCCUACCAAACUUCAGAACUAUACUUGUGCAUGGUUCUUGGGGUUCCAUACCAAACUGAAGAAAUGUACUGAACCGAUCAAAAUCAUACCGAACUUAACUUAUUUUACUAUUUUGAUUCAAUAGUAAUUUUCACCAAGAAUCGAACUAGACCAGAAAUAAACUAAGAACUGAUUAUAUAUACACGUUUUUCUAUGAUUUUUGUUAGAUAUAUUAUAUACUUUCAAUGUAAUUAUAUAUUUAUAUGCAAUUAAUAUUGUUAUAUAUAUUAUAAUUAAG
This 405-nucleotide unclassified non-coding RNA is filed under the name Hevea brasiliensis (rubber tree). Lineage: Eukaryota; Viridiplantae; Streptophyta; Magnoliopsida; Malpighiales; Euphorbiaceae. The record is from RNAcentral.